This 253-nucleotide ribosomal RNA is filed under the name uncultured bacterium. Its description in RNAcentral is "partial 16S ribosomal RNA". It matches the Rfam family "Bacterial small subunit ribosomal RNA", at positions 524 to 776 of the family's 1533-position model. The record is from RNAcentral.
UACGAAGGGUGCAAGCGUUGUUCGGAUUUAUUGGGCGUAAAGCGCGCGCAGGCGGAUGAACAAGUCAGAUGUGAAAUCUCGGGGCUCAACCUCGAACGUGCGUCUGAAACUGUUUGUCUAGAAUACUGGAGGGGGCAGGGGAAUAUCACAUGUAGGGGUAAAAUCCGUAGAGAUGUGAUGGAACACCAGGGGCGAAGGCGCCUGCCUGGACAGUUAUUGACGCUGAGGCGCGAAAGCGUGGGGAUCAAACAGG